CCAUAUCAUAAUCAUCAGGAUCUAACAGAUUUGGCAAAAAUAGUCUAACACAUUUAAUCCACAAACUUCAUUCAACAAUACAUUUGAAAUGCAAGUGAAGAGUUAAUUCACAACUAAUUAUGCUCAACGUACUCCUCCUAUACUAAUUUAACAAUUUAUUCAUCAUACAUCAACCCAUACACGAAAUUAACUACAUAAAUUCCAAC
This 206-nucleotide long non-coding RNA is filed under the name Capsicum annuum. Its description in RNAcentral is "long non-coding RNA (CANN_LNC001585)". Lineage: Eukaryota; Viridiplantae; Streptophyta; Magnoliopsida; Solanales; Solanaceae. The record is from RNAcentral.